ACUUACAUUGUUUUGGUUAAUAAAAGUAUUUCUUCUCCUCCAUUGGUAGAUGCUGGCACUCCCGUCCUCCAUCUUUCUUCUCCUCCAUCAGUGGAUGUUGGCGUUCCUCUCCAACAUUUUACAGGUGUUAGUAAAACGUGACUUCUAUUUAUACAUUAAAUAUGUGAUCAGUGUCUUUAUAGUCUUUCUUUCCUCUGCUGAUAUCUCCUCCUGGGGCUGAUUGUGGGACACUUUUGGAUGCUGGUGCUCCCCCAUUUUUCUCCUCCUCCUCCUCCAUUGGUAGAUGAUGGUACUCUUCCAUCUUCCUUGUUCUCAAUCAGUGAAUUCUGGUGUUCAAGUCCAACAUUUUACAAGCAUUAUUAGAAAGUCAUUUUUUACAAUAAACGUGUCCAGUGUCUUUCUGUGUAAAUGAGA
RNAcentral lists this long non-coding RNA (414 nucleotides) under Gouania willdenowi (blunt-snouted clingfish). Its description in RNAcentral is "lncRNA (ENSGWIG00000015962.1)". The record is from RNAcentral. Lineage: Eukaryota; Metazoa; Chordata; Actinopteri; Blenniiformes; Gobiesocidae.